RNAcentral lists this unclassified non-coding RNA (146 nucleotides) under uncultured Ascomycota. Its description in RNAcentral is "sequence contains ITS2". Lineage: Eukaryota; Fungi; Ascomycota. The record is from RNAcentral.
CCACCUCAGGCCCCGGGCUUGCUGUUGAGCGCCGCCCGAGAGGGCGCGCCUCGAAACGGUCGGCGGCCACGAAGGCCCCCUAGCGCACAGAGCAUCCGCCCGCGCUGUAGGGGGUCCGCCGUGGCCGCCAGCGUCUUACACCCUGA